This 67-nucleotide transfer RNA is filed under the name Scaphiophryne marmorata (marbled rain frog). RNAcentral's name for it is "tRNA-Ser". Lineage: Eukaryota; Metazoa; Chordata; Amphibia; Anura; Microhylidae. The record is from RNAcentral. RNAcentral also lists the same sequence under 3 other names.
GAGCUUGUAUGGUAAAACGAGAACUGCUAAUUACUCGCAACCAUGGUUCAAUUCCAUGGCCCGCUCG